Molecule: ribosomal RNA, 502 nt
Filed under: uncultured bacterium
Lineage: Bacteria
Description: bacterial SSU rRNA
Rfam family: Bacterial small subunit ribosomal RNA
Source: RNAcentral
CUUAGGAUGAACGCUAGCGACAGGCUUAACACAUGCAAGUCGAGGGGUAACAGGGUAGCAAUACCGCUGACGACCGGCGCACGGGUGAGUAACGCGUAUGCAACCUGCCUAUAACUGGGGAAUAGCUCCCUGAAAGGGGAAUUAACACCGCAUAACACUAUUGAUUCGCAUGGAUUAGUAGUUAAAUGUAGCGAUACAGGUUAUAGAUGGGCAUGCGUGACAUUAGCUAGUUGGUGAGGUAACGGCUCACCAAGGCUACGAUGUCUAGGGGUUCUGAGAGGAAGGUCCCCACACUGGUACUGAGACACGGACCAGACUCCUACGGGAGGCAGCAGUGAGGAAUAUUGGUCAAUGGGCGCAAGCCUGAACCAGCCAUGUCGCGUGCAGGAAGACUGCCCCUAUGGGUUGUAAACUGCUUUUAUAGUAGAAGAAACACAUCUACGUGUAGAUGUCUGCCAGUAUACUAUGAAUAAGCAUCGGCUAACUCCGUGCCAGCAGCUGC